CUCCAAAGCUCUGCAGCCAUCCCUACCAGCAACAGCAAGUUCCUGCUCCUGUCAGUUAAAAGCCUGUUUACCUUUGAACUCAGUGGGAACAAGAACCGGGCCCUUGUGCAACUGUGGGAAAUAAUUGACUGCAGUAACAUUUCCAUCAGCCCUGUGAGUUGAUUUGAACCAGAUUACUCAGGAAACUCAAAAGCCCGAUGCGAGGUUUUUAUGAUGGAUUUUUCCAAGGCAAAAAAUCCAUGGACUGGCUUCAUACCACCAGCACAGUUUAGGUUUUCCAUCGUGAGACUGAUGCUACCCUUGAGCCUGAAAAUGGCUGGCAAGAGACUUCUGGGUGACUGGAGGAGACUGUCACAGCAGUGCCUGUGGGGAGAUGCUGGAGUCACUCAGGCACAGCAAGUCCUUCUCUGAGCCAACUGAUCCUUGGCAGGUGGCAAACAGA
RNAcentral lists this long non-coding RNA (442 nucleotides) under Manacus vitellinus (golden-collared manakin). Its description in RNAcentral is "lncRNA (ENSMVIG00005003787.1)". The record is from RNAcentral. Lineage: Eukaryota; Metazoa; Chordata; Aves; Passeriformes; Pipridae.